AUUGAACGCUGGCGGCAUGCCUGACACAUGCAAGUCGAACGGCAGCACGGGAGCAAUCCUGGUGGCGAGUGGCGAACGGGUGAGUAAAGUAUCGGAACGUGCCCAGUCGUGGGGGAUAACGUAGCGAAAGAUACGCUAAUACCGCAUACGAUCUAUGGAUGAAAGCGGGGGAUCGCACGACCUCGCGCGAUUGGAGCGGCCGAUAACAGAUUAGGUAGGUGGUGGGGUAAAGGCUGACCAAGCGGACGAUCUGUAGCUGGUCUGAGAGGACGACCAGCCACACCGGGACUGAGACACGGCCCAGACUCCUACGGGAGGCAGCAGUGGGGAAUUUUGGACAAUGGGCGAAAGCCUGAUCCAGCCAUGCCGCGUGCAGGAUGAAGGCCUUCGGGUUGUAAACUGCUUUUGUACGGAACGAAAAGGUUUGGCCUAAUAAGCUGAGCUCAUGACGGUACCGUAAGAAUAAGCACCGGCUAACUACGUGCCAGCAGCCGCCGCAG
RNAcentral lists this ribosomal RNA (500 nucleotides) under uncultured bacterium. Its description in RNAcentral is "partial 16S ribosomal RNA". It matches the Rfam family "Bacterial small subunit ribosomal RNA", at positions 29 to 523 of the family's 1533-position model. The record is from RNAcentral.